UAUUUCACUUUAAACUGAACUAUUUAGGGAACGACCAGACGAGAUUUCGGACACUCACUGAAAACACAUCGCUGCGGGACUUGCGUCAGA
Molecule: long non-coding RNA, 90 nt
Organism: Etheostoma spectabile (orangethroat darter)
Lineage: Eukaryota; Metazoa; Chordata; Actinopteri; Perciformes; Percidae
Exons: 3
Source: RefSeq, a predicted model, not a curated record